This 254-nucleotide ribosomal RNA is filed under the name uncultured bacterium. RNAcentral's name for it is "partial 16S ribosomal RNA". It matches the Rfam family "Bacterial small subunit ribosomal RNA", at positions 524 to 776 of the family's 1533-position model. The record is from RNAcentral.
UACGGAGGGUGCGAGCGUUGUCCGGAAUCACUGGGCGUAAAGGGCGCGUAGGUGGCCUGUGGAAGUCUGCGGUGAAAGCCCGGCGCUCAACGCCGGGUCGGCCGUGGAUACUCUCGGGCUCGAGCUUACUAGAGGCGGAUGGAAUUCCGGGUGUAGCGGUGGAAUGCGUAGAGAUCCGGAAGAACACCGGUGGCGAAGGCGGUCUGCUGGGGUAAUGCUGACACUGAUGCGCGACAGCGUGGGGAGCAAACAGG